This 239-nucleotide long non-coding RNA is filed under the name Elaeis guineensis (African oil palm). RNAcentral's name for it is "long non-coding RNA (EGUI_LNC007213)". Lineage: Eukaryota; Viridiplantae; Streptophyta; Magnoliopsida; Arecales; Arecaceae. The record is from RNAcentral.
GUUGCGGAUAUAAACGUUGUCGGUUUCGGAGACGUGUGACAAAGUCCAACUAGCCGUUGGGGAGUCUGAAAGAGUUUUCAAAAAGGUGACGGCUACGUGACCGGCGGACCGGUCGAGUGAUGAGAAGUGGUCGUUGGUUAAGUCCAGAUAAUCUUAAUAAAAAAUAGAAUUUGUAUUGUUGAUUUUUUUUUUCCCUUUCUUUUAAUACGGUGGUACAUUCGAACGUGGAGAGCACAUGC